UACGUAGGGUGCGAGCGUUAAUCGGAAUUACUGGGCGUAAAGCGUGCGCAGGCGGUUUUGUAAGCCUGAUGUGAAAUCCCCGGGCUUAACCUGGGAAUGGCAUUUGGGACUGCAAGGCUGGAGUGUGGCAGAGGAGACUGGAAUUCCUGGUGUAGCAGUGAAAUGCGUAGAUAUCAGGAGGAACACCGGUGGCGAAGGCGGGUCUCUGGGCCGAAACUGACGCUGAGGAGCGAAAGCGUGGGGAGCAAACAGG
RNAcentral lists this ribosomal RNA (253 nucleotides) under uncultured bacterium. RNAcentral describes it as "partial 16S ribosomal RNA". It matches the Rfam family "Bacterial small subunit ribosomal RNA", at positions 524 to 776 of the family's 1533-position model. The record is from RNAcentral.